RNAcentral lists this ribosomal RNA (676 nucleotides) under Bacillus subtilis. Its description in RNAcentral is "bacterial SSU rRNA". It matches the Rfam family "Bacterial small subunit ribosomal RNA", at positions 556 to 1231 of the family's 1533-position model. Lineage: Bacteria; Bacillati; Bacillota; Bacilli; Caryophanales; Bacillaceae. The record is from RNAcentral.
GGGCGUUAAGGGCUCGCAGGCGGUUUUCUUAAGUCUGAUGUGAAAGCCCCCGGCUCAACCGGGGAGGGUCAUUGGAAACUGGGGAACUUGAGUGCAGAAGAGGAGAGUGGAAUUCCACGUGUAGCGGUGAAAUGCGUAGAGAUGUGGAGGAACACCAGUGGCGAAGGCGACUCUCUGGUCUGUAACUGACGCUGAGGAGCGAAAGCGUGGGGAGCGAACAGGAUUAGAUACCCUGGUAGUCCACGCCGUAAACGAUGAGUGCUAAGUGUUAGGGGGUUUCCGCCCCUUAGUGCUGCAGCUAACGCAUUAAGCACUCCGCCUGGGGAGUACGGUCGCAAGACUGAAACUCAAAGGAAUUGACGGGGGCCCGCACAAGCGGUGGAGCAUGUGGUUUAAUUCGAAGCAACGCGAAGAACCUUACCAGGUCUUGACAUCCUCUGACAAUCCUAGAGAUAGGACGUCCCCUUCGGGGGCAGAGUGACAGGUGGUGCAUGGUUGUCGUCAGCUCGUGUCGUGAGAUGUUGGGUUAAGUCCCGCAACGAGCGCAACCCUUGAUCUUAGUUGCCAGCAUUCAGUUGGGCACUCUAAGGUGACUGCCGGUGACAAACCGGAGGAAGGUGGGGAUGACGUCAAAUCAUCAUGCCCCUUAUGACCUGGGCUACACACGUGCUACAAU